This 76-nucleotide transfer RNA is filed under the name Pseudobdellovibrionaceae bacterium. Its description in RNAcentral is "Bdellovibrionaceae bacterium (bioreactor metagenome) tRNA-Glu". It matches the Rfam family "tRNA". From Rfam's summary of the family: Transfer RNA (tRNA) molecules are approximately 80 nucleotides in length. Their secondary structure includes four short double-helical elements and three loops (D, anti-codon, and T loops). Lineage: Bacteria; Pseudomonadati; Bdellovibrionota; Bdellovibrionia; Bdellovibrionales; Pseudobdellovibrionaceae. The record is from RNAcentral.
GUCCCCUUCGUCUAGAGGCCUAGGACGGCUCCCUUUCACGGAGCAGACACCGGUUCGAAUCCGGUAGGGGACGCCA